CCCUUCCUGCGCCCGCCUUCCCCCGCAACCGGGACGCGACCGAACGGGACGGGACGGGGAGAAAUAGCCGAGUCACGGCCUAGAACCCGUAAGGGCAGGGCGGGGGAACUACCGCCCGUCUCGGGCAGGGUACCUCGCGCUCCGUCAGGGACGGUCUCCAAUGUCAGAUGCCUUCCUCCUUUCAGACUCCUCUUUAAAUGUUACAGCAGAAAUGUGAACCUUGUUGGAGUUGUCAGUGUCCUGAUUAGAAGCAGAUGGCAUUAGGAAUAGCUAAAAUGUGUAUGUAAAUAUACCCCCUGACUGCAGCUGCUGUGGAAAAAGAAGAAAUUAUAAGGAAGAUCUACGCAUGUACUAUAAAGCUGGGAGAAAAUGAGAGACAGCAGGUGAAAGAAGCAGCAUUUACAAAGGAAGAAAAAGGAAAAUCACUAAAGGAAAUGCAUAUGGAUAUCAGGUUUUUCUAAAACCGAGCUCACCUUUCCAGCCACAGCAUUGACUUGAGGAGAUCCUUCCAGCAGUGAAGAGCACGCUGUUUUACUUCUUCAGCCAAAAUUUUAUCCUGUUUAUAUAAAUAUAUAUGCAAUAUAUGCAAAGCACCAUAGGAAACAAGGGGAGACGAUGUCAAGCUUUGACAAGAUGAAGAUAAUUCUGGAGCUUUGAAUAACUACCCAUUACAUUUCUGAAUAUUAAAAAUAUGCUGGAAAAAGAAAAAUUUAAAUGUAAAUGUGGUCCCUUCAGAAGCAUCCUACAACUAUUUUACUAGGUUAGCGUAUAAAGCCUUUUAAGAACAAAUACAGGUUUAAAUAAAUUAUGCAAAAGAAACUGAGAUUAGGUAACUUCUGUAGGGGAAAAGCACUAUUUUAAAAACAUAAUUUAAACCUUCAUUUUUCAUACCUCCAUAGCAAUUUCAUUUAACAUAGAAAAAAUUCUUCCUAAUGGAAACAUGUUAUGUCACAAGAAAACACCACAUUCAGACAUAUAGAUGAUCAAAACUGAACUCUGAAAUGAACGAAGAUCUUAGUGGUUUAGAUCUUUCAAAUAAAUGGGAAAAAAACCCCACAGAAGUUCCUGUCAAAAUAUUUGCAGACAGAUUCUCAUAACUUAUAUCAAUCAUAAAUAGUUCAAAUUGGUAACGAACUGGCAUUUUCUUCCUUAUGAAUUUACUUAAGAAACAGAUUGGGCAAGAAGAGGGGACAACUUAGAAGCAAUACUGGCCAACAACUUUCUGUCAAAACAUUAGCUAAUUGCGAAUCAGGCUGCCACUUGUUACCACUUAUUGAAGUGAACAGAACAGCAUCUAAUUCAGUGAUUUAGAAUUAAGAUCUGUUACCACCAAUUCACUGGUAAUUUACUUGUGAAAGCAGCUUGAUGGGUGUUAUCAAUGACUUCUGUUAACACGAAACUGGAUUAAAACUCCACAAGUUACUCUCCUAAAAACUACGAGCCUGCAAAUGUACCUUCCUAAAUAAACUCAUCUAAAGAAUGUACUCACUAAAUAACACAGCUCUUUUUCAUUAUACUAAUUCAGAGAGCCUCUCUCAGUGAGUAUCAAAUCAGGGAUCCUGCCUCUGGCACUCAAGCAUAAGGGCACACCAGCACAGAGCCGAGUACAAUUCAAGUACCUGACCAGUUAAAUAACCUUGCCAAAAUGGCAGACAUGCUUAUUUAUUUAAGUUUUAAUACAAAUCUUAGCAGUAAAUCAAUGUUAAUGGCCAGAUACCUUAGAAAGGGGAAACACAAGGCAGUAAAAUGAGCACAGAAGCAGGGAAAAGGGAGGGACUGAAUUCCCAGCACUGUGCCAUGGCUGCCACAGGAGUGCAGGUAGCUGUCCCUGGCCAAAGAACUUGGAAAAAGAAAUGACAUGGGCUCUUUUAUUUAAAAGAGGAAGUAUGAAGAAUUCUAGUAAUAUACUAUCAGCUAGGAAAUACUCACUUUUUCUACUAAGGGUAUUAACUGCUGGUGCUCUGCUAGAGUCUUUAACAAUUCCAUGAUGAAAGGCAGGUAGUUAUGUUUUCUUCUAAUAUUUUCAAUCUAAAAAUAAAUUAAAAGCAUUAACAGAAUUAUUAUAUACCUGAACUAUUUUCUAGUCCCCAUCCAGUUCCUUCACAUUAAUUGCAAAGCUCCCAUAUAUAUAUAAAAGCUGACUUGAUCUUACAACUGUACCAAUAAUUUCAUCAGAAAAGCAAAGACUACAUACCUUAUAUCUUUUUAAUUUUUGGUUCUCUUCUUCAAUUAACAUCUGGUAUUUUGCAACUUCUGAUUGUAUAGAACUUAACAUAUUACUACUUUGAUCUGUAUCCAUAGGCUCCUCCUUCCACAAAACAAAAAUUUAAAUGGAUGAUGUUACUCCAUUUUUAAAUUUUACUUUUUUAAAAGCAAGUUUUGUCUCAAGGGUAUUUCUAUCACAGAAAGAUUCAGUUUUGUUUACCAUUAUAGGUACAUACCAGGAAUUUCUGCAGUUAGUUACAAACAGGUACUGGGAAAAAAACCAGUUCCAGCACGGCAGCAAAUGAGUCGAGGCAGAAAGUCAAAAUGACAUGGUCAACACUGUGCUGAGUGCUCAGCUCAGAGCUGCAGCACUGAAUGCACCCACACUGUGCUGGACAUAUCUCUAGCAAUCACUCCCUGCAUUUUUUACUGCUGCUCCAUUGGGAGCAAGGAAGGGAAGUGAAUAGUAAAGCCAACACACAAGACUAUCAUAGAAAUACUGUAGCAAUUUAAAUUCCAUGGCCUACCUCUGCCAGUUGCUGCUGUAGCUCUGCAAUCCUCUGCUCAUAUAUCAUCUUCCUGUCAGACACAAUAGCCAUCAGGUUAAACCUUAUCUCACCUUCACUGUAUCUAAAUGGGGAACAGAAAAACAAAACAACAAAGACAACCCGCUUUCAAAAUUAGUUACCAACAUGACAAUUCAAAAGCCCACUACUUGAUUUCAUUUCAUAGAAAAAAAAAUUUUAAUGGGUCUAUUAAAUUAAGCUGUGCUACAGAUCCAGUCUUGUUACAAAAUAAAAUCAGAUCACAAAUUAACUCUAUCCAAUAUGUAACUCCUAAUUACCUUCUCUCCCCAAAAUUUACUAUUCCUGUCUGUGAUCACAAAACAAAUACUGAAACUGUCCAAAAAAGAAAACAUGACAACAGAACUUACAGAAGAUGCUUCACACAAUAGUUUUUACUUUCUAUUACAUGUUAGAAAAUAUUGGAGACUUCUCCACACAGUGUGAGAAGUACAUUCAACAAUUAGACUAGCAGGCCUUUUGGAGGUUAAGUUCUCCAAAAACAACUUUGUAUUCCUGUUUUGCUAAUCAAAAAAAAAAAAAAAAGUCUUGUUUUCUAAAAAUGGCAUAAAAUCAACCUUAUUCCAAACAAAUUUGGGACUGCAGUUUGGAAACAGAGUUAAGAAGUAGCAAAGUUCCACAGUGUGUUUUUCUAGCUUAAAUUUCUAAGACAAGCCAUACCUAAGAAAAACUUCAGAUCUCUAAGUACCAGCUGUAUGGACAGAAUGGCUGUCUAAUAAUUUUAAGUGCAUAGGCAAAUGUUAUUCAUGGUCAUGACACUCUUUCACUCACAAAGAUCCACAGCUCUGUAACAGAUAACAAUCUUCUUUUCCAGAGCACUCGAGGAUCUCUCUUCACUACACAGUCACCUACUUGGAUUAAUUAUGCAGCAGCACAGUAUAUUUGAGAUUUAUCUAUCAUCACAUUUGCCUCAUGUUGGGCAACAGGUUCUCAAGUCACACAGUGAUAUGCAUAAAGAAAUGAUGCAUAAGUGCCACUGCUUAGAAAUUCAGCAGAAAUCCUUUAACUGAAGGAAGUUAAGACAAAGGAAUUUUCAAGCAUAGACAGGAUUCAGGAAGAUGCUUGAAAACAUGUCUGCAGUAAAAACCAAUUGUACCAAAUGUCUUCAAGUGGGAACAUUUAAAAGAAGAAAAUGUGCGAGAAAAGAAAGAGGCGAAGACUUGUUGAGAUUUUUCAGGCUCCAGUGUCAUGACAGUUUCGAAGCUCCAGAUCAACAGAUCAAUAGCCUUAAAUGUCAUAAAAAUUGCCCUAACCAAUCUCUUUGUUCUGGGAUUCCAGCCUACAAAUUAACAUAGUGUAAUUCUAUAUCAUCCCUUUAGUAAUGAAGAAAAAGGUCUUCUGCAAAGACCCUCAAAGUGAGCAUAAAACUUGGCUUAAAACAUACAGUGGAAAUAAAAAAUGAACCCAGUGGCAUGAUGGCUGGGAGGACUUGCUCUUUACAAUACAAAUAUUCAAUACUAAUUCUCAUCUUGCUUUGUGCUCCUGGGUGACUCAGAAGGAUCCAGACUGUAGUUGUGAGAAGUGCAGUAACUUCAGUACUACGAUAAAGAACCCCCUGUCCUCUCACUUACCUGUUACCAGUUUUGUCCUGUACACACCUGCUGAACAGACACAUCUCGUAGUACAGCAGAGACCAGCCCAGAUGCUAUGCACAGAAAACUGCUGGGCAAUGAGCUUCACUGGCUCACAGAGUUUCACUGCACCCUGCUCUCAUCAGCAGCAAAUCAUAGGAUCAGACACUGGCUCAAGAAAACACUAAGUCCUCAAAACAUUGCUUGUCAAGUUGGAUCUCUAACCCAGGUUAACUUUCUUCAGUGUGAAAGUCACCAGAGCUAAACUGGGAUUAAACAGAUUCCUCCAAAAUAUCCAAAGCAGUUUCUUUCUCUUGACUUUUAAUAAUAAUUUCUCUGUACCUAUUUCUAGUUGUUCAGUCACAAUAGCUCAGUCCAGGCAAAACAGAACUGAUAUGAAAGACAAGCAUAUAGAUGUCUUUAAGGAAUGUUUUAAUUUUGCAAAGCCACUGCACUUGACUGACAGAUAACAAUAAAAAAUGAAAAAGAUACUAACUCUAAACUUUUUGCAAAUGACCUCUGAAACAUCUAUUCCACUCCAUCAAGUGGCAAAACCAGGCAGUACUAUUGUAAGAGUCAACAUUUCUAGAAAUUGCUUUCCAUGCUAAAAUUAAGAGUCACUCCAGCAUACUCUCUUUGAAGGCAGCGGGUAAAGGAAAGGGACAAUUAAAAAGGAGGUUUCAGCUUAAGAACACAUGAAAAUAUGAGUGUUUCAAAGAAAACUAUAAAAUAAAGAAGACUUUUCACUGUUAGCCUUUAAUUUGGUGGGGCUUGUUAUCAAAUCAAACAUCAUCCAAAUUCUGUGAUGUACAUUCUGCAAUCUCAUCUUAAAGCUCAAGAAAGCUCCUCUUAGCUAUUGCCUUUAAACACGGUAUCAAGCUUCACAAAAGGAAGAAGGUGGAGAAGGCAAAAGAAGUGCAGCAAGCAGACAAAUGCUUUGAAACUUUUCAGCAUUCACAAGAACAGCAAUUCUAGGACAACCUCAGCUACUCACAGGAAAUAAGAUGAAACCCCUUGAGUGAAGGAAAGUUCACCUUCACUUUAAAAUAAAAAAAACCAACAUCGUCCAAAAAAAUCCCUCUCUAGAUUCCAGUCAGAGUCAUCUCCUCCCACCAUGUAACUACCUUUUAAAAUUUACAGCAAGGAUUUUCUCUGAGUUCUUGGCCUCAUGGCUGUUCUUUAGCUACAGCCCUGGGCUACUAACAGUAAGUUUGGUUAGGUAGAAUUCACAACCUAAACCAUUGUCUAUGAGAGCUACCAAACUACAAUUAGUAAACUGCUACUGAUCACUGCAUCAUAAAAAUGUUGGGCAGUGCUUGGCAGGACUCAAGAGCUACAGCAGGGGAAGAAUGAAGAGAAGCAGCAUUGAAAAAGCUGAUCCACAACAGCAUGAUUAUAAAAGGAAUGAAACAGAAGUGCAGGUACAGGAUGGCCAGGAUGGCUAUUUGCAUUGUUUUCCGUAUUUCUAUACUUUUACCUGGAAGUGUGAAGAGAUUUCUUCAUAUACUGAAAUUUACAUUCAAAAUUUGCAUUUGUGGUGGGAAAUAAAACAAGAAAAAACCCAACCAAAAAAAAAGCCCCCAAAUCCCCCACCCAAAACACCCCAACAACUAGGCCAUGUAACAGUCUCCACAGAAAUCCUAAUAACUUGCCCUUUGAUAUCAAUAUUUUGUAAUUAAUACCCAUAUUAAAUACUCCUACUUUCAUUCUGA
Long non-coding RNA from Haemorhous mexicanus (house finch), 6072 nucleotides. RefSeq lists it as uncharacterized. The transcript has 8 exons. Lineage: Eukaryota; Metazoa; Chordata; Aves; Passeriformes; Fringillidae. The record is from RefSeq and is a predicted model, not a curated record.